Molecule: ribosomal RNA, 435 nt
Filed under: uncultured bacterium
Lineage: Bacteria
Description: partial 16S ribosomal RNA
Rfam family: Bacterial small subunit ribosomal RNA
Source: RNAcentral
GAUGAACGCUGGCGGUAUGCUUAACACAUGCAAGUCGAACGGACUCUUCGGAGUUAGUGGCGGACGGGUGAGUAACGCGUGAGAAUCUGGCUUUGGGUUCGGGACAACUACUGGAAACGGUGGCUAAUACCGGAUGUGCCGAGAGGUAAAAGAGAAAUUGCCUGAAGAUGAGCUCGCGUCUGAUUAGCUAGUUGGUGAGGUAAAGGCUCACCAAGGCAGCGAUCAGUAGCUGGUCUGAGAGGAUGACCAGCCACACUGGGACUGAGACACGGCCCAGACGCCUACGGGAGGCAGCAGUGGGGAAUUUUCCGCAAUGGGCGAAAGACUGACGGAGCAAUACCGCGUGAGGGAAGAAGGCUCUUGGGUUGUAAACCUCUUUUCUUAGGGAAGAACAAAAUGACGGUACCUAAGGAAUCAGCAUCGGCUAACUCCGUG